RNAcentral lists this long non-coding RNA (713 nucleotides) under Monodelphis domestica (gray short-tailed opossum). Its description in RNAcentral is "lncRNA (ENSMODG00000046907.1)". Lineage: Eukaryota; Metazoa; Chordata; Mammalia; Didelphimorphia; Didelphidae. The record is from RNAcentral.
UGUCUCUUGACUUAAUAUAACAUCAUCUCCUCCUUCUUUGUCCUUGCCUUGAGGGAAAGGAAGACUCUCUCUCUCUUCUCUCAACACACCCCCUUUAUUAUAAAAGACACUUUCAGCUUAUACCUGUAGAGUUCAGGCAGGGCCUGAGCCUCUGUGGAUAAAGUAAAAAGGACAGACUCCAUUUGAAUUAUGUCAUAGUGAAAUUUGGAGCUUCCAAGAGAUGCAGCAGCCCUCAUGAAAAUGCUUAAUGCCUCUGAAGAUGGAAGAAAGAAUUAUUCAACUUUGGGAGAAAAAUGGGAGUUAGAGAAUCUUAUAAAACCUUAAAUCAGAAGGGAAAUGGAAUGCUGUCCAGCAGUCAAGAGCACUAGAAUGAAAAUCAGGAGACAUCGGUUCUACUCUUGAAUCAACCACUGACUUCCAUGAUUUUGGGUUUGCAGAGUACUUUACAUACCUUAUCAUUUUAUCCUCACGACAACCCUCUGAAGUAAGGACAGAGUGCUGGACUGCUGUGAAGAAGAUGUGGAUGUUGUCUUCUGGCCUGGGUGAAACUUUGCUCCUGACUUAUCUAUCCUGUCAUGCCCAUUUUAUAAAUUUGUUUGGGAAACACUGGACUAGAUGAUUUCCAAGGCCCCUUCGAACUCUGACAUUCUUCUUCUUUUUUUAAAAUCUGAAAUGAAGAAAUACUAAAUAAAAUAAGCAUUUCCAUAUCUGCA